UCCUACGGGAGGCAGCAGUGAGGAAUAUUGGUCAAUGGUCGGGAGACUGAACCAGCCAAGCCGCGUGAGGGAUGAAGGUACAGAGUAUCGUAAACCUCUUUUGUCAGGGAACAAAGGCGGGGACGUGUCCCCGGAUGAGUGUACCUGAAGAAAAAGCAUCGGCUAACUCCGUGCCAGCAGCCGCGGUAAUACGGAGGAUGCGAGCGUUAUCCGGAUUUAUUAGGUUUAAAGGGUGCGCAGGCGGUCUGUUAAGUCAGCGGUCAAAGCCCGGGGCUCAACCCCGGCCCGCCGUUGAAACUGGCAGU
RNAcentral lists this ribosomal RNA (305 nucleotides) under uncultured bacterium. RNAcentral describes it as "bacterial SSU rRNA". It matches the Rfam family "Bacterial small subunit ribosomal RNA", at positions 337 to 640 of the family's 1533-position model. The record is from RNAcentral.